Molecule: long non-coding RNA, 12306 nt
Organism: Mus musculus (house mouse)
Lineage: Eukaryota; Metazoa; Chordata; Mammalia; Rodentia; Muridae
Product: predicted gene, 57834
Exons: 2
Source: RefSeq, a predicted model, not a curated record
UGUCUUGAAAAACAAACAAACAAACAAAAAAAGCCAAAAAAACCAAACCAAACAAACAUACAAAAAAGAAAUCUGGGCACCCAACAGCUGUCUUAGUGACAGAGCUUUUUAGAGUAAUUUUUUUAUAGGGCAUUAAAGUAUAUUUGAUAAUUGCUAAGAGUAAAAAUUAAUUGCUUUCCAAACUCAUUCUGGGGCUUUUUCCCUUCCUGAAAUAAAGAUGCUGAGGACAGGCUGUUAGAAUGCUAGUUGGGCUUCUUCAUAGUUAGUAUGCAAGGCAGCUUCUAAAGAAGUGGCCCCAAAUGGCUAAAACAGGUUAUUGCAACAAGGGCUUGGGAUCACUGCCAGGGAAACUGGCCAGGAGCAGCGGCUCCCCCAGAAUGCCUUGUUAGUAGAAGAGCUGUGUUGCUCAGAUUCACUGGUGUUGUUCAAAUAGUGGAUGACAAGGGAUCCAGCUUUGCCUGCAGUUCAAGGUCAUUUCUCAGGAGUUGGAGGACACUGUAGGACUCCUGUUGUGGUGAGUCCAGAGAUUAAGGAAAUGACUCUCUGGGCAGCAAUCUACCCAACAGGUACGAUGGUGUGUUCCUGUAGACUCAGCUGCCCCAGAGUUUGAGGUACCCUUGGCACAAUCCCCUGUCUCAUUUAGGAGACAGGAGAGAUAGCCCAGCAUAGCCCAGCUUUGGGUGUUUGAUACCCUGGUUUUCAGUGUUUGUCUGAGUAACUGAUGCUGACAGUCAGCCAGUUCACCUCUCUGCACCAUGUGAAGAAUGUACUUCCAACAAACCACGUCAGAGCCAUCCCAGGCUCUGGCAGUGAGUGCCUGGGGGAUGUGACCCUGCUUGGCUCAGGCUGGAAGCAGGAUGGCCUGUUUGAUACAGCAGUGCUUUUAUUAGUUCUCCUUUUACAGAUAUGCAACUUCACACGCAUGCUGAGGGGAAGGUUAGAAAACAGUGAUGAGCUAUCAGGGCCAUGUUAACUGUAGUUUCACAGAUUACAUUGGAAGCGUGGCUCAGUUUGUUUUCUGCAUCCUUUCUCUGCACUGGCAAAAACAUUUGGGGCUUUUUUCUAACUUAUUUCUUAUUAUAUGUAAAACGUGUGUGUGUGUGUGUGUGUGUGUGUGUGUGUGUGUACACGUAUGUAUGAGGCAGGUGCAUAUCCUACCAAAAUCUGUGUUCAGGCCAGAGGAGAACUUUGAGAAUUCAGUUCUUUGCAUGUGCAGAAGGCAUGUGGUCCUGGGCAUGCUAAUGGCUUGGGUUGAUGGCUGUAGCUUCAGCUGCUGAGUCACCUUGGCAGCUCUUAGUUUUUUGUUUUUUUGUUUUGUUUGUUUUUUUUUUUUUCGAGACAGGGUUUCUCUGUAUAGCCCUGGCUGUCCUGAAACUCACUUUGUAGACCAGGCUGGCCUCGAACUCAGAAAUCCACCUGCCUCUGCCUCCCGAGUGCUGGGAUUAAAGGCUUGCGCCACCACGCCUGGCAAGCUCUUGGUUUUUAAAGCCUUCCAUGUGUUCAGUCUUAGGAGUGCACAGCCCCUCAGACUUUCUCAGACCCUCCCGUGGCUGUUGAUUUGUCUUUUACUCCAUGGCGUUGUGCUUUUGUUCUUUCUUUUUUUAAAAAUUUAUUUAUUAUUUUACAUUAGUACACUGUAGCUGUCUUCAGAUGCACUAGAAGAGGGUGUCAGAUAUCAUUAUGGGUGGUUGUGAGCCACCAUGUGGUUGCUGGGAUUUGAACUCAGGACCUUUGGAAGAGCAGUCAGUGCUCUUAUCCACUGAGCCAUCUCGCCAGCCCCGCUUUUGUUCUUUCUUAAUUGUGUUGUUUGUUAUGUGUACUGGUGUUUUGCCUCCACUUACUUCUGUACAGCAGUUUCAAGCCUGGUAUCCACGGAGGCCACGAAAGGGUGAUGGACUCUCCUGGGGCCUGAGCUACAGACAGUUGUGACCUGCCACGUGGGUGCUUGGGAUUGAACCCAGGUCCUCUGGAAGAGCAACCGCUGCUUUAACUACUGAUUCAUGGCUCCAGCCCUAGCAUCGUGGUUGUUAGAAACAGUAAUUACACUCAUAGUAUAGAUUCUCAUAAUUUCUUACGAGAUCUACAAGUUCGUCCUGAAACAGCAGAGUCUUGGAGAGCACUCAGUUUAGGAACCAGAAGUCCUGUGCAGCAAAGGACCUAAGUCUAACCCCCCCAACCCCCCCUUUUUUGUUUUGUUUUGUUUGUUUGGUUUUUUGUUUGUUUUGUUUUGUUUUUUUGAGAGGUCUAACCCCUUUUACAAGGGGUUUUUGCUUUACUUAGUGGUACUGGAGAUCAGACCUAAGGCCUGAAGCAUUCUGAGUAUACCUAUCACUGAGCAGUGUGAACACUUUUAGCCCUAAACUCCUUUCCAUCCUGAUUUUUCCCAUUUUCCAACUUUGUGAUAUGCUACUGUGUGUUUAGAUUGACACCCACUCACCCCACCCCCUUUUAGUUGGGAUCUCUUCAUGUAGCCCCGGAUGGUCUUGAGUGCUACCCACACCAGCUAGCUGGGUAUAGUUUUUAGCCUUCCUUAGCCUCAUGUUUUUUCAUCUUUAAAACAAAGAGAGUUGAGCUAUGGAGUCUAUUUUUGAAGCUUCUGUCAUUCUAACAUGGUCAGGUUUUAUGUUUGCUUGUAAAAUGUCCCCAUUUAAUGUUGACAUUCCCUUUAUGCAGAAAUGCUGGGAGCCAGAAGAGUCCAAGGCCAUCUUUGGUUACAUAGCAAUUUUGAGAUCAGCAUGAACCAUACAAGAGACCCUGUCUCAAAAUCCAAUAUCUCACUAGGUGUGGUGGCACAUGUUUUUGAGGCAUAGGCAGGCUUGUUUCUGAGUUCAAGGCCUGGUCUUCAUAGUGAGUUCUAGGCUAUCCAGGGCUAUACAGUAAAACCCUGUCUUGGAGGAAGAGGGAGACAGGGAAGAGAAAAAAGUGGAGGAGAAAGAAGAAGAAGAGGAAGAGGACGAGGAGGAUAAAACAAAAAAUAAGAAGGAGGAGGAGGAGAGAGAGGAGGAGGAGGAAGAGAAGGAGGAGGUGGAGGAGGAGGAGGAGAAGAAGAAGAAGAGGAAGAGGAAGAGGAAGAGGAAGAAGAAGAAGAAGAAGAAGAAGAAGACGACGACAACCAAAAAUCAAACUCUAUCCAGAGAGAUUUGAGCAAGAUGUAACAUGAGAGUCACAAGCUAAAAUAAGCAUAGCCAAGACAUGGGUAGAAAAAGACUUAGGAUCUAUAGCAAGCAAGGAGAGUAUGGAAGUUAUUUCCAAAGCCGUGUCUUCUCAGAACAGAGCAGGCAUUGAAAAGUUAGUCACAAGGCCUGUGAUAUACUGGGACUGGCUUCCUCCUCAGCAUGCUCACUUAAGCAGUGGACUUGUGAGUAUACUCAUUUCAAGGUCAGGGAUCACACAUUUCAAAUAUUAAAGUGUGAGACCUUGUCUCAAAAAAGAAAAAGAUUAAAGGGCAGGCGGAUUUCUGAGUUCGAGGCCAGCCUGGUCUACAGAGUGAGUUCUAGGACAGCCAGGGCUACACAGAGAAACCCUGUCUCGAAAAACUAAAAAAAAAGAAAAAAAGAAAGAAAAGAAAAACUAGUUGAAUAACCUGUGGACCUUGUGGUUUGGGAGGCUUCAUGGUAUCGGUAGGUUGAGGAAAAACAGCUCUUCUAAGAAGAUAAACACAGUGAAUUUGCAUGGUCUUGCAGCGAGUCUGGACCAGCUGCUGAGAAGCAGGCUUCCCCAACAGCAGAUAACGCAGGUCUUUGGCCCCAGACUGGUGGUAGGCUCAGUGUUGACCAGAAGAAGACGCCUGUCAGUGAGUGCGCACCUUUGGCCUCUGCUCUUACAGGCUCUGAAGGUUAAUUUUAUGUGUAAACUUGGCUGGGACACAGUGCCCAGACAUUAACAUUGUUUUGAUUUACAGGAAGAUGGUUUUGGGGGUCAGAUGGACACUUCAAUCCAUAGAUUUGAUUCUACAUUUUAUUUGCUUUAAGGCACACCUCCCUGUGUAGCUCAGUUGGCUUUGAACUUGUGAUCUUCCCACCUCUGCCUCCUGACUGGGAUUAUCGGCAUAUACCACUCCAUUUAGCUUUAACUUAAUUAAACAUGUAAUUGCUACUGUCUUGGUCUAUGUUGUAUUGCUGUAAAGAGGCACCAUGACCACAGUAACUCUUAUAAAAGAAAGUAUUUCAUUGGGGCUGGCUUGCAUACAAUUCAGAGGUGUAGUGCACUGUCAUCAUGGCAGGAAGCAUGGCAGCAUGCAGGCAGACAUGGUGCUGGAGAAUUAGCUUGAGAGUUCUACAUCCGGAUCAGCAGGCUAUAAGACAGAGGAGACCCAGGACCUGGCUUGAGCAUUUGAAACCCCAAAGCCCACUGGCAUUGAUAUAUCUUCCCCUCCCCCCACACGGGGCCACACCUCCUAAUAGUGCCUCUCCCUGGUAACCAAGCAUUCAAAUAUACGAGUCUAUGGGAACCAUUCCUAUUCAAACUACCUUAGACCUCAUUCGGGUAAAUCUGAGGUCUUGAGUGCUACAGAAAAGAAUUUCAGAACGAUGUCAAGCCAGGCAGUUUAUUAAGAUUAAAAAAAGAGGGAGAAGGAUUCAGUUCUGCUGUUGGAAUGCUUGCCUGGCACGAACAAAGGGCUGGUUUUGAUCCAGGAAUUAACAUAAAUAGGGUGUGGUAGCAUACACUGGCCCCAGAACUCCUGAGUGGAUCAGGAGAAUCGAUUCAGGCCCAUCUCAUCUACCUAGCAAGGUCAAGGCCAGACUGAGUCUGAACUGUCCAGCCAUUAAUCACCUAUGUGAUUCCCCUGGCAGCCAGGCUCCGUUCCUGUGGCUUGCUUGCAGUUACCUCACGAACAGAACCAGAUGUGGCUGGAUAACAAAGGACACUACACUCCUUGCCAUUUGCUUUAUUAUUUAUUACCAUUUAGAAAAUGUAUUUAUUACCAUUUAGAAAAGUGAGAAAAAUAAAAGAAUGGCUUAGGCACUCUGGCCAUGAAGACCAAGUGUAUAUUAUCUUAGUGCAUUCUACAAGGGUCUGAGAAUUCUGCUAUCUGGUUGCUUAUGGACUGGCCUUACAGUUCUGCCAGCCUGGUCUAUCCUGCAGAGUUUGAUCUUGUACUUAGAUCAGUUACUUAAAGCAGUUAUCCCCAGAUCCUUCCAUCCAGUGUGCACUGUUUGUUGGUUUUGUUUCUCUGGAGGUCUUCUAACACAUAGGGCCUGCAGAUGGCUGUAAGGACCAUUUUACUUUACGUCUUUACUCAGAUAUUUUAAAAUGAUUUUUUUUCCAUUAAAAAUAAAGGGAUUGGGGCUUGUGCAGGGAGAUUGCUCAGCAGUUAAGAACACGUGCUGCUUUUGCAAAGGACCUGAGUACAUCCCAGUACUCACAUUGGAUGGCUCCCAACUGUCUAUAACUCCGGCUCUAGGGCAAUCUGACAUUUCUGGCCUCCACAGGCACUGAUACCCCUGCAUAUAUACACACAGAUCCACAUACAAGCAUAUAAUUUAAAAUGAUAAAAGUAAUUCUGAAAUAUAUUGGGGAUCCCAGAAAGACCCUGCUUCAAAGAGAAGGUGGAGAGUGAUAAUAGGUAGAGUCGGACACCUGAUGCCUUCCUCUGGCCUCUAGAUACCUACAUGGAUGUCCUACAACACACACACACACACACACAUAUUUCUUUUGGUGCCAGGUUUUGAACUCAGGAUCUUGAUCAUAGCCAGUAAACAUUCUGCCCCUGAGCUACACCCCGUGCCCUUCCUAUGACUUUCACAGCUUUAUUGUCAUGAUUAUAGAUUUAAAAUUUGCAAGAGGCUGAGUAUGAGGGCAUAGCUUUAGUCCUAGCACUUGGGAGGCAGAGACAGGCAGAGUUCUGAGAGUCAGUGCUGGCCUAAUGUACAUAGUGAGAUCCUGUCUCUAACCAAAGUAAAAUGUGCAUGACCCAUACACAGACUUCUCCAUAGUACUUAUCAAAUAAAGUCGAGGGAGUUGUGUCUGGCAGGCCACAUAGCCUAUGGCAGAUGCCAUGGUUUGUAAGGCUGACCUAAGAGUGACACCUCGUUCCCCCAGACACACACAAGAACUGUGAUGCUGUAGUAUGGAUACUGUACUAUGGUUAGAAGGUAAGGGCAGGUCCUGUCUGCCAGUUAGGAGGACCCUCCCCUGCCUAGUGUUUCCUCUCUCACUAGACCUCACUUCACACUGAGAAAAUGUUUGGGCUCUGUUCAUCUGAUAGGAAGGAAGCUGGAGGGCAAAGACCCAGCACCCUGGUGUGGCUCUCUGUAUCUAAAGGGGUCAGGACUUUUCCCAGAGCCUGGCCUGUGGUAUACUGUGCUCACGGGUCUGUCAUUGUAUGCCUGUGUCAUAUUAGUGCCUUUUGACAGACACGGCUGUCUGUUGAUGGGUGCUAUUCUGUGCCUUUAGUUGCUGAAAAAUGAACAGAACCAGAUAGACAAGGACUCUUGCCACGUGGUCCUGGGAACAGAAAGAGAGAUCUCUGACCAGCUGCCUACAGUCUUGAUUAUCUUGAUGAAAGCAGUUGCCCAAGUCUUUGUUUUGUGCCCAGAGUGUUGGAAAAUUCUCCUUCCUUUUCCAGCAGGGUACCCAGCCAUUUCUACAAAUGCCAUUUCUGCAAAUGGAGACUCCUCAUUAAGGAUUUUGUUCAGAAGAGGGAAAAGGAGUUAGCUGAGGAUGGUGACGUCUCAAAGGCCCAGUUGUGAUUAGACCAGGUGUGGUGGUGAUACCACAUGUCUGUAAUUUCAUCACUCAGGUGAGGCAAGAGAAUCGCAAGUUCAGGGCCAGCCAGAGGUACCAAGCUAGAUCCUGUAUCAAAGUCUGAAAAAGAAAACAAUGUAAAAACAUUAUGGCUCCACCUGCUGGCAUUCAACUCCAUUUCUGUAGAGUCCUUUACCUUGGAAGGUUCCUUUGAAAGGUCACUUGUUUUUGUGUAGUAUUGUGUUCAAAUUUUACCUGCAUAGCCAAAGAGCUUCAUUAGUGUUUUUCUGUGAUUUUCCUAGUAGGGGGUUGAAGAGUGUGGCUCAUGGGUAGAGCGCUUGCGUACAUGAGCAAAGCGUUGGGGUUCCAUCCUUAAACACUAAAAGCAAUCUCCCAACAAACACUGUCUGUAGUUAAAUGGACACCUUCCAGAGAAGGGCCAACAGUGGUGUGAGGGUUUAGGAAUCCCGCUGCCAUUCUCUGGCUGGGACAGGCAAGGUGAGUCUCUCACCCAUGUCCCUGAGCAGGCAAGCCCAGAGCACCAAGGUCCUGACGGGUAGGCAGGACUGUGAGGCUGAGCUUUAGAGAGUGACUCUCAAGCUGGGGCUCGGACAAGUGUCCCCACAGCUGCUUCCCAGGGUCGCCACAUGCUAACUGAUUGAUUUCUGCAAUGACCCUUUAAAGUGUAUGAUGUAUGAGCCCCAGGCUGGCUCCUUGGCAACCCCAGGGUGACUGUAUUGUGCUCAGAGGGUGAACUCCGGGUGCUGAGCACUCAGAUGGCCAAGGCUGGCCAGCCUGGACUGGGCCUCUGUUGGAACCAUCAAGUCUGUCCAUUUUCUUGGCUGGCUCCUCCAACAAGCUUCUUUUAGUUGCAGGAUUUCAUUCUGCCAUCGUAAGGAAACGGAGAAAACAGUAUCAACACAGAUUAAGAAAGAAGAACAUUUUUAAAAGCAAGUUGCAGAAACCCUAAAGAAAGCAUCUCCCAGUGCUUCUGGCUGCCCCUGGCCAGUGGCUUCUCUGCUUAUGUGAUCAACCUGGAGGGAAAAUGGAGUCAGAGGUUUCAGGUGUAGGCCCAGUAUGGGUUGGGAGCCUGAGUGUCUUCUCUUGAGGUUCACAAUUAUAGUUCUUUUCACAGUGCUGGCUGGAAGGUACACAUUUUGGCAGAAAGGACAAACUGUAACACCUUAAAAAAUAGACAUUUUGGGCUGAACAUGGUGAUGCUUGCCUUUAAUCCCAGCACUUGGGAAGCAGAGGCAGGAGGAUCUCUAGGUUGGUCUACUCUACAGAGAGAGUUCCAGGCUAGUCAGCCACACAGUGAGACCUAUGUCUUUAAAAAAAAAUGCUGGGGAGAUGGCUCAAUGAGUUCAGAUCCCGGAAUUCCAGUAAAACCUGGGUCUGGUGGCAUGCAUCUGUAAUAUUAGUACUCCUGUAUUGAGAUGGGAGAUGGAGACAGGAGAAUCCCCUGGAAGCUCGUAGGCAUACUUGAUUGACAUAUGCAGUGCAGCAGCAGAAACCAAAAGAGAGGCUGUCUCAAGGAGAUGGGAGGUAAGAGCUGAUUCCCAAAAGAUGUCAGCUGACCUCCACAUGUCCAUCAUGGAACAUACAUGCCCAUACUUGAACACAUACGUGUCAUACACACACACACACACACACACACACACACACACACACACACACACAGUUUUUAGGAAAAGCAAAAUAGAACGUUGAAAAGAGAUCAUACUCCUAACUGGUCAACUUUUUAUAGACCCUCUUAGGAAAAACUCAGCAGUAGAUAAUUGGUGAUACACAGGCCUGUAGAUAGCACACCUCAUUGUGCACUGUACCUGUGCUUUUUUUUCUUUUCUUUUGUUAAAGAUUUAUUUAUUGUAUGUAUAUGAGUACACUGUAGCUGUCUUCAGACACUCCAGAAGAGGGCAUCCGAUCUCAUUAGGGAUGGUUGUGAGCCACCAUGUGGUUGCUGGGAAUUGAGCUCAGGACCUCUGGAAGAACAGUCAGUGCUCUCAACCACUGAGUCAUCUCUCCAGCCCCCUGACCUGUGCUUUCCAAGUCUGUUACCUUUAGUCAACUGCGGUCUUUAGAUGUUGAAUGGAGAAUUCUAUAAAUAAACCCCAUAAGACUUUUCUUCUUCUUGUUAGCUUCAUUUAUUCAUAUAAUGUAUUUUGAUCAAGUCAGUUGGCAUUCCCUGGUCCCCUACUACCCGUCCUUCCCUCUUAACUUCAUGUGCUUUUUUUAAUGCCUUUUUUUUUUUUUUAAAGAUAUACCAAGCCCACUAAGUAAUAUCUAAGUACUCUGUACUAUCUAUAUGUACAGAGGUGUAGGACCAUCUACAGAAAUAUAGGUAGCCUUUCAGGGGGAGCAUCUACAUACAUACAUAUAUACAUACUCACAAAUAUUUUGAAAAAACAUGGUACAUAAUUAGUUGACACAAUAUCACAAAUGCAUAGAACCAGAAGUGUUUUUAGAUUUUGGAGUUCAGUAUUUGCAUAGACUUGGCUAUUCCAACAUCUCUCUCCCCCACUCCCAUUCCCACCCCUCCAAAAACAGAAAAGAAAAGAAAAUGUCAGAUAAGAGGUGCUCGACCCAUGUAGAGUGUAUUUUUAGGCAUCCGCUGAGAAUUUCAGAGGUGCUCACGCUUAGAUAAGGCUGGGAAUAUGCUAUGUACUCGGUAUGUAAUGAGAAGGAAUUGCUGUGUGGACCUUGAGCAUGCAGUAUUUUCCCAGGCAGCUGGGAUAUAACUGAAUUCUGUAUGCAUUCACAUUUGUUAAUAAGCCUCGCCCAGACAGGACUGUGGCUUCCUUUGCACUAUGGAAACUCUGUAAAGUAAUAAGUUGGCUCAAGUGUAGGGCAAAUAAAGCAUAAGGUGAUUAGAACGCGAGAAGCAGUGGACUGUGAACCAGUUGUUAACAGCAGGUGCGGUUAUAGCUGCCCAAGGACUCGCUAGUUACCCUGCAGUAUGUUUCUGUCAUUUAAAAGAGACUGAAAUUUGGAUAGAAAUUCAGUAUUAAUUCAUUGAGUUAAACAAAGAAUGGGGGAGCAGAGGCCAGACUCUAACUUUGUGAUUUUUAAUAUAUUUUUUUCAACGGUUAACUUUAGUGUUCUGGAAUUGUCUCCUUUUGACAUUUUAUUUCCUGUUCUGGGACACCAACUCUGCCUGCAUUGAGUGUUUUUUUCUCAUCAGUAUCAGUAUUUUUUUCCCUCUUAAUUCUUUUCAUGUCCAUUUUGUCCAGCCUUGCUUAGCCACAGUUUUGAUUCUGGCUUUGCAAUUUCCUGAUUCCAAGAUAACUUUUGAGGGGUUUUUGUUUUGACCUUGGCGUGUUUCAGUGCAUAGAUACAUUGUUUCACAGGUUAAGCAUUCCAGUCCCAAAAGUUACUUUCUUUUUCUCCUAUCCUCCCUCCCUCUCUCUCUCCCCUUAAUCCUUUUCUUCUCAACCUGCUGUACCUUGAAUUUGUGAUCCUUCUGUUUUUGCCUCCCGAGUCUGGAAUUAGAGGACCAUACUCCUACACUCAGAUAGCUUGUGUGUGUGUGUGUGUGUGUGUGUGUGUGUGUGUGUGUGUGUGUGUGUACUCCCUUGUGAAGGUGCUCCAAGAGACCAGAGAUGUGUUCUCAGUUGGAUCCUUUGUGGUUCUAGAUGUUUGGAGUGGGGUGGGGUGGUUUUCAUUUAUGAACUUGCAUUCUGUGGAAGAUGCUAUGUGGUUUUGUCUAUUAUAUUUCCUGUCCCAUCUUCCUGCCUGGUUUUCAGGUGAGCACCAUGCCCUGGGACUGCUGAGAGUGUGCUAAGAGAAUUCUUUUAAGGUGUUUUUUGAGUGUGUCCUUGAGUGAGAAAGAUCACAUUGAGAUGUGUUUGCUCGUGAGUAUCUGCUGUGAGAACAUGUAGGUGCUGGACAUUUGUAGAGCUGUGAAGUGGACUCACAGUGGAUGUCUGUCCCUUACUGCUCCUGGGUUGUAAGUGGCAUUUGAGAUAUUUUCUAACUUUGCUGCCCAGAGUAUUGGCUUCUUUUCCUUUUUAUUUAUUCAUUCACUCAUCCAUCCAUCCAUUCAUUCAUUAGGUAUUUUCUUAUUUGCUUGCUUAUUUAUUUACUUACUUACUUACUUAUAUGAGGCAAGGACUUACCAUGCAACUCUGGUGGUACUAGAACUCAGCUGUAUAGAUCAGGUUGGGCUCUAACUCACAGUGAUUCACCUGCCUCUGCCUCUUGAGUGCUCCCAUGCCCUGCUUAGUGUACGGGAGGUCCUGGUUUGAUCUGAAAAUGUGGGAGAAAGGAGCUGGAGAGGGAGCAAGUGGGGGAAGAAUAUUCACAGGCUCAUGCAUUCAGCAACACAAUCAAGAACACUGCAGUCAUCGCACUGAGAGGCCCAAACACUGUCCUCAUAGCCUUUGGCAUCUGUCAGCCUGUCUAGUCCUCUGCCCUCCCUAGUCUUUCUUUGUAGCAGGGAUUAAGCCCACUACCUCAUACAUGUAGGUCAGGGCCUCAUGCAUGUAGGUCAGGGCCUCAUAUAUGUAGGUCAGGGCCUCACACAAUCCCUGAGCUAUAGCCUGAGCUUUUAAAAUUUAAUGUGUGUAUGAAUGUUGUAUGUAAGAAUAUUGCAUCUGUGCCUGGUACUUGCAGGAGCCAGAAGAGGGCACCAGAUUUCUUGGCAGUGGAGUUAAAGCCAGCUAUGAGCCAUGGUAUGGUUGCUGGGAACCGAACCCAGAUCCUCUAGUAAAACAUCCAGUGCUCUCAACUGCCUAUCUCUCAGCCCCUAUCUGCAAGUUUUUAAUCACAGUCCUUUUGUCACAGGGACCCACUGAGUUACCCAGACAGAUUUUAAAAGUGGCAUCCCCCUGCCUCAGCCUCCCUACUAAGCACCAGGCCCAGUCAGGCCCUACUUUUGCUAGCACAUGCUAGAAUGAGACAUACUGGCAGAUGGUUACAGCUUAAAUACCCUGUGCACAGCGCAAAAGGAGGUGCAGGUAUAAGCAGUUUCCUGAGAGAUAAGAAACAAUUUGUUAGAGAACUCUAUGGAGAAGCCAGUUUUUAAGGGAAUCCUUAGACAGUGCGGCAUGACCUGCAGUAAAGUUGCCUUGGCCCACAGACUCAGCAACCUUUUGUAGGGGUUCUCUGCAGUGCCGAGUGGGCCUGAGGGAGAGGGCAGGGUGUAACAGAAGUCAGUCAGUGUCAGUCUUUGUUGUUAAGGAGUCAGUGCUUCGUGGCUCACAGAAUGUCAGUAAGAAGACAGAAGCAUCAUCGUCCUCUUUGGGGGACUCUGACCAGGUGGACAAGGGAACUUGGCUAAGAGCCAUCCCCUGUCUUGGAAUGUACAGUUCUGAUGUCUCAAUACAGGAUGUCUCUGCAGGUCAGCACCUGUUGGUGUGGUAUUGAUUUCUGAGUCUUGACAGUAGCUCCUAGAACCUGUUGAGGCCGGUAGCACUGUGUGUGGCCAUGGCUGUUAACACUGUGUGUGGCCACGGUCCAAGUUAAAACACCUCACUAAAUCAAGCACACACACCACACCUCAUACCAAGGAAAUAUACCUUACGGCCAGCAAAAACCAGUCUUUGCUUUGAGGGAAUGAUGUCUUUACUAGGGUGGCCAACAUCUGCAUUCCUGUUUAUUGUAUGCUUCUGGUGGGCUUAA